RNAcentral lists this ribosomal RNA (209 nucleotides) under uncultured Parvimonas sp. Its description in RNAcentral is "partial 16S ribosomal RNA". It matches the Rfam family "Bacterial small subunit ribosomal RNA", at positions 568 to 777 of the family's 1533-position model. Lineage: Bacteria; Bacillati; Bacillota; Tissierellia; Tissierellales; Peptoniphilaceae. The record is from RNAcentral.
UACGUAGGCGGCCUUUUAAGUCAGGUGUGAAAGCGUGAGGCUUAACCUCAUUAAGCACUUGAAACUGGAAGGCUUGAGUGAAGGAGAGGAAAGUGGAAUUCCUAGUGUAGCGGUGGAAUGCAUAGAUAUUAGGAGGAACAUCAGCGGCGAAGGCGGCUUUCUGGACUGCAACUGACACUGAGGUACGAAAGCGUGGGGAGCAAACAGGA